UGGCAACUAUCUCUAAUUUUAAAUUUUGUUUAACUGGGUUUUAACCUAUCUGAGUGGACUAACCACUAUGAUUUAAGAAACUUUGAUUAGUCAUUACCUGUGCUCUUAUGGAAAAAUUAUAUAGUGAAGCAGUGAUACCAUGUCAUCAUUUUAUAUGAAAUGAUAAAGCAAUAUGGGAUUAAUAAAUAUAAUUAUUGAAAUUUA
Molecule: unclassified non-coding RNA, 204 nt
Filed under: Hevea brasiliensis (rubber tree)
Lineage: Eukaryota; Viridiplantae; Streptophyta; Magnoliopsida; Malpighiales; Euphorbiaceae
Source: RNAcentral